GUUACUGAAAGCCGUGCUUUUCCUCUUUCCGAGGCCUGCUGUUGGGCAGAGCAGUGCGGCUUCCUUCCGCCUCCCUGAACUCCUUCUCUCCAUCAGUUCGCUAUUCUUCAACACUUGUUCUGUUCUGGAAACUUGGCAGGUAGCAUGUACGGUUAUUUUCAGAGGAAUGAGUGGCAGAAGAAAGCCACAUUGGAAGUAGAAGCUUCGGGAGUCUUCCAGACAAGUACCCACGGCCGCAAAGCUGCAGAGUAACCAGUGAGGCUUCCACCGAGGCCUGCUGUCAUCUCAGUGUCUCAUCACGCCGGCAUGAGAACGCACAUGGCGGCCACGUCGUGUGGACUGUGGGUGUGGAUCAAUGAUCCCCCCACCUUCUGCUGUGCGACUGGGCAGUUCCUAUAAUUGAGCUUCAGUUUCCUCCACCUCAGUUGCCAUCACUGGGGGACAGGGAGGGUAACCACAAUGCUUCCCUUGUGUCAUGAGGAUUAAAAGAAUUUUAAAACUC
Long non-coding RNA from Mesocricetus auratus (golden hamster), 502 nucleotides. RefSeq lists it as uncharacterized. The transcript has 2 exons. The record is from RefSeq and is a predicted model, not a curated record. NCBI's taxonomy places the organism in Eukaryota, Metazoa, Chordata, Mammalia, Rodentia, Cricetidae.